This is a long non-coding RNA of Musca domestica (house fly), 360 nucleotides long. RefSeq lists it as uncharacterized. NCBI's taxonomy places the organism in Eukaryota, Metazoa, Arthropoda, Insecta, Diptera, Muscidae. The transcript is spliced from 2 exons. The record is from RefSeq and is a predicted model, not a curated record.
UCAUAUUAAAAAAAAAAAUAUUUGAAAACGAAAAUUCAAUGGAAUUUCACAUAUGAUUUGAAAAAUAUCCUCAUAUAAGCAAUUUAAUUAAAUAUUAUGUGGAAUUAGAACUGUCUUCAUAACAAUAAUGGAGUUUCCUUAAAAUUGGUCGAAAAUAAUACAUCUGAAAGAACGCAAAACGAAAAUGGAAAUAUGAAGAAGAUAAAUAUACUGAAUGGGAUACGAUAAAUACUGAUUGGGCAGGAAUGGCAACAAUUUUAACUCUUUUCAAUAUCAUAAAGGAAAUAUUGAUUAUUGCAAUAACAAUUUUUUAUAAUUUUGCAACAGAUUAAUAUUAUUAAAUGUUAUUACUGAACCUAA